This 801-nucleotide ribosomal RNA is filed under the name uncultured bacterium. RNAcentral describes it as "bacterial SSU rRNA". It matches the Rfam family "Bacterial small subunit ribosomal RNA", at positions 74 to 896 of the family's 1533-position model. The record is from RNAcentral.
UGCUAUAAUUGUCAGCUAAGUGGCGCACGGGUGAGUAAUGUAUAGAUAACCUGCCCUUAAGAAAGGAAUAACAGUUGGAAACGACUGCUAAUGCCCUAUAUGCCUUUAAUGCAUAAGUAUGCAAGGGAAACGCUUUAGUGCUUAAGGAUGGGUCUGUAUGGUAUCAGCUUGUUGGUGAGGUAAUGGCUCACCAAGGCUAUGACGCCUAACUGGUUUGAGAGGAUGAUCAGUCACACUGGAACUGAGACACGGUCCAGACUCCUACGGGAGGCAGCAGUGGGGAAUAUUGCACAAUGGACGAAAGUCUGAUGCAGCAACGCCGCGUGGAGGAUGACACAUUUCGGUGCGUAAACUCCUUUUAUAUAGGAAGAUAAUGACGGUACUAUAUGAAUAAGCACCGGCUAACUCCGUGCCAGCAGCCGCGGUAAUACGGAGGGUGCAAGCGUUACUCGGAAUCACUGGGCGUAAAGAGCGUGUAGGCGGGUAUAUAAGUCAGAAGUGAAAUCCAAUAGCUCAACUAUUGAACUGCUUUUGAAACUGUAUACCUAGAAUGUGGGAGAGGUAGAUGGAAUUUCUGGUGUAGGGGUAAAAUCCGUAGAGAUCAGAAGGAAUACCGAUUGCGAAGGCGAUCUACUGGAACAUUAUUGACGCUGAGACGCGAAAGCGUGGGGAGCAAACAGGAUUAGAUACCCUGGUAGUCCACGCCCUAAACGAUGUACACUAGUUGUUGUGAGGCUCGACCUUGCAGUAAUGCAGUUAACACAUUAAGUGUACCGCCUGGGGAGUACGGUCGCAAGAUUA